Molecule: unclassified non-coding RNA, 263 nt
Filed under: plant metagenome
Description: partial contains small subunit ribosomal RNA, internal transcribed spacer 1, and 5.8S ribosomal RNA
Source: RNAcentral
UUUCCGUAGGUGAACCUGCGGAAGGAUCAUUAUUGUAUACCCGAGGUGCGAGGGCUGUCGCUGACCCGAAAGGGCGUGCACGCCCGAGUGCCCUCACACACAUCCAUCUCACCCCUAUGUGCACCACCGCGUGGGUCCCCCUUUGGCUUGUUCGGAGGGGGGCUUACGUUUUCACACAAACUUUGUAUGCAGUGUAGAAUGUAUUUUUUGUUUUUGCGAUCACGCAAUCAAUACAACUUUCAACAACGGAUCUCUUGGCUCUC